RNAcentral lists this ribosomal RNA (160 nucleotides) under Cuphophyllus pratensis. RNAcentral's name for it is "5.8S ribosomal RNA". It matches the Rfam family "5.8S ribosomal RNA". Rfam says of the family: 5.8S ribosomal RNA (5.8S rRNA) is a component of the large subunit of the eukaryotic ribosome. It is transcribed by RNA polymerase I as part of the 45S precursor that also contains 18S and 28S rRNA. The record is from RNAcentral. Lineage: Eukaryota; Fungi; Basidiomycota; Agaricomycetes; Agaricales; Hygrophoraceae.
CAACUUUCAACAACGGAUCUCUUGGCUCUCGCAUCGAUGAAGAACGCAGCGAAAUGCGAUAAGUAAUGUGAAUUGCAGAAUUCAGUGAAUCAUCGAAUCUUUGAACGCACCUUGCGCUUCUUGGGUAAUUCCGAGGAGCAUGCCUGUUUGAGUGUCAUUA